GGAAAACUGCUCACCAAGACUGCAGUGCUCACCUCCAUCACCAUCUACUACCUUACAAUGUUUGCCCAAUCUAAGUGGCUCAUCAAACGCAUUGACAAGCUCCGGAGAGGGUUCCUUUGGCGCGGCGAGGACGAAGCUGCUGGAAGCCAUUGUGUAGUGAAUUGGAAACAAGUGUGUUCCCCGAAAUGA
RNAcentral lists this ribosomal RNA (189 nucleotides) under Triticum aestivum (bread wheat). RNAcentral's name for it is "partial small subunit ribosomal RNA". Lineage: Eukaryota; Viridiplantae; Streptophyta; Magnoliopsida; Poales; Poaceae. The record is from RNAcentral.